GCUUACGGCCACACCGCCUUUGGUUCCCGUCGACCGGAAGCUAAGAUAGGUUGGGCCUGGUUAGUACUUGGAUGGGAGACCGCCUGGGAAUACCAGGUGCUGUAAGCU
RNAcentral lists this ribosomal RNA (108 nucleotides) under Scophthalmus maximus (turbot). Lineage: Eukaryota; Metazoa; Chordata; Actinopteri; Pleuronectiformes; Scophthalmidae. The record is from RNAcentral.